GAUAAUGUUUGUUAGCUUGUUUGAUGUCAGUGCAAGUUGUGGAGAAGUCACUUUUCAAUCUGUCUGACAAUCCCACCAUAGGGAAAGGCAGAUCAAUGAAUCAAACCAGCCAAGUGAAUGCCAAAAGCCUUGAAGCAUUGCCAUCAUAAGGUAUAGAUUUUGACUUACAGCAACUGUGAGUUGUACAAAUGGAGGGAAUGUAAAGCUAUCUCAGCUGGGAUGGAAGAAGAGAGAGUGAACAUGUCAAAUUGCAUUGGAGUCCUUGAACUGAGAAGAGGGAUGUCCUAAUAGAACAGCAGUUCCUGAUUGCUGCUCAGUGACUCCUGCUGAAAAGCAC
Molecule: long non-coding RNA, 337 nt
Organism: Chiloscyllium plagiosum (whitespotted bambooshark)
Lineage: Eukaryota; Metazoa; Chordata; Chondrichthyes; Orectolobiformes; Hemiscylliidae
Source: RefSeq, a predicted model, not a curated record